GCCACUAGCAGACAUCCUACCUGUCAAGGAGUAACCAUUCCUAAGACUGAGAAAGAAAGAUCCCUGACAAUAGCAUUUGAGGCCUUUCUGCCUCCAGUACUGCCCAAGGCCUGCUGCUUUCUUAGACUUCCAUAUUUCAUUUCCUAGACAAUAAAUUUUCUAUUUGAAGCUACUUUGAAUCAGGCUCCUGUCUCUUGCAUCCAAAAUGUCCUAACCAAAUGAAGGAGAGUUCUCUGAAGCCAGCUGCUCAAUAGUGGGAGGAAAUUUCCUUAAUAGUGGGAGUUCAGCCUCCUACAUGAAACCUUAUGGAACAACCCCUGGAUUCAGGACUAUUUUUAGCUGCCACAAUUGCCUGGGGAAGGCCGCCGGCCUGGGCACAACCAAACAGGGUCAGCUCCUACCUCUGCCUGCAGCAGCCUCUGACGCAGGCCUGGAAUCUGGGUAAGUAAGACAAAGGCUCUGCUCUUGCUCCCCUGGUGCAGAACAGGAAGACAGACCUAUAAAUAAAUGAGUGCAUUGAAUGUUACAUUAGCCAUGAUAAUGAUCUACACAGGAGAAAGUGCAAAAGCAAGAGAGAGAGAGAGAGAGAGAGAGAGAGAGAGCGCAGUCAUUUCCCUAGUGGUGAGUGAGCGGUGAAGUGGCUGUUGGUAAAAGUUCUCGGGAGGAGGCUAAGCUGAGGUGCACGAGAAGGUGUUUUCCAGCUGGAGGAUAGGGUUGGGAAUAGCAUUCAAGAGACAGGAACCUGUGCACAUCAAGCACAGAGACAUCUAGAAGCGACACAGGACAGAAACAUUGCAAACUGUUUGGCCUGGCUGGAGCACAGGGUCCAAGACGGAUAGACACAGGAAAACCUGGCAGGACCCAGUCCAGGAAAAGCCUAGUGGGAGUAAGGAUUUGAUCCAAGAAAAUGGGACCGUUGAAGGGUUUUAAGGAGCAAGGCAGCAUUCAUUCCAACAUUCAUAACCAGUAAUUAAAAAAAAAAUUCUAAGUUUCAUUUUUUGAGCUUUUUAAUUGUGUAAGAGACAUAACUUAAAAUUCCCAUCUUUAC
Molecule: long non-coding RNA, 1048 nt
Filed under: Callithrix jacchus (white-tufted-ear marmoset)
Lineage: Eukaryota; Metazoa; Chordata; Mammalia; Primates; Cebidae
Description: lncRNA (ENSCJAG00000077876.1)
Source: RNAcentral